GAUGAACGCUGGCGGCGUGCCUAAUACAUGCAAGUCGAGCGAACGGACGAGAAGCUUGCUUCUCUGAUGUUAGCGGCGGACGGGUGAGUAACACGUGGAUAACCUACCUAUAAGACUGGGAUAACUUCGGGAAACCGGAGCUAAUACCGGAUAAUAUUUUGAACCGCAUGGUUCAAAAGUGAAAGACGGUCUUGCUGUCACUUAUAGAUGGAUCCGCGCUGCAUUAGCUAGUUGGUAAGGUAACGGCUUACCAAGGCAACGAUGCAUAGCCGACCUGAGAGGGUGAUCGGCCACACUGGAACUGAGACACGGUCCAGACUCCUACGGGAGGCAGCAGUAGGGAAUCUUCCGCAAUGGGCGAAAGCCUGACGGAGCAACGCCGCGUGAGUGAUGAAGGUCUUCGGAUCGUAAAACUCUGUUAUUAGGGAAGAACAUAUGUGUAAGUAACUGUGCACAUCUUGACGGUACCUAACCAGAAAGCCACGGCUAACUACGUGC
This 498-nucleotide ribosomal RNA is filed under the name uncultured bacterium. Its description in RNAcentral is "partial 16S ribosomal RNA". It matches the Rfam family "Bacterial small subunit ribosomal RNA", at positions 28 to 508 of the family's 1533-position model. The record is from RNAcentral.